Molecule: ribosomal RNA, 253 nt
Filed under: uncultured bacterium
Lineage: Bacteria
Description: partial 16S ribosomal RNA
Rfam family: Bacterial small subunit ribosomal RNA
Source: RNAcentral
UACGGAGGAUGCAAGCGUUAUCCGGAAUGAUUGGGCGUAAAGCGUCCGCAGGUGGCAAUGUAAGUCUGCUGUCAAAGCGUCUGGCUCAACCAGAUAAAGGCAGUGGAAACUACAUAGCUAGAGUAAGGUAGGGGUAGAGGGAAUUCCUGGUGUAGCGGUGAAAUGCGCAGAUAUCAGGAAGAACACCUAUGGCGAAGGCAGCUCUCUGGGACGGUACUGACGCUGAGACGCGAAAGCGUGGGGAGCGAACAGG